Ricinus communis (castor bean) is the source of this 163-nucleotide non-coding RNA. Lineage: Eukaryota; Viridiplantae; Streptophyta; Magnoliopsida; Malpighiales; Euphorbiaceae. The record is from Rfam.
AUACUUACCUGGACGGGGUCAAUGGGCGAUCAAGAAGACUCAUGGCCUAGGUUAGUGACCUCCAUUGCACUUCGGAGGGGUGCUGGCCUAAGGUCUCCCCAAAGCUGGGAGAGCCUACGUCAUAAUUUGUGGUAGUGGGGGCCUGCGUUCGCGCGGCCCCUGU